AGCGCAACUCCGGGGUGCCCGCGCCAGCGAGCUGAGACGGCUUGGCAACAAGUCGAACCCGUCAACUUGAUCCGGUUAACACCGGCGUAAGGAAGAGCAGCAGCGCGCGUG
This 111-nucleotide non-coding RNA is filed under the name Burkholderiales bacterium. Its description in RNAcentral is "TPP sequence". It matches the Rfam family "TPP riboswitch aptamer (THI element)". Rfam says of the family: Vitamin B(1) in its active form thiamin pyrophosphate (TPP) is an essential coenzyme that is synthesised by coupling of pyrimidine and thiazole moieties in bacteria. The previously detected thiamin-regulatory element, thi box was extended, resulting in a new, highly conserved RNA secondary structure, the THI element, which is widely distributed in eubacteria and also occurs in some archaea. Lineage: Bacteria; Pseudomonadati; Pseudomonadota; Betaproteobacteria; Burkholderiales. The record is from RNAcentral.